Non-coding RNA from Capsicum annuum, 110 nucleotides. The record is from Rfam. NCBI's taxonomy places the organism in Eukaryota, Viridiplantae, Streptophyta, Magnoliopsida, Solanales, Solanaceae.
GAUUGCUGAUGAUGUGGAUAGUCUCAAAGAAGAUCUUUAAACCUCUCCCAAGCAUUAUAUAAGUUCUCAUCUAUCCUCUAUUUGAAGCUCACAAUCUCACUUCGCAUAGU